Molecule: long non-coding RNA, 480 nt
Organism: Leopardus geoffroyi (Geoffroy's cat)
Lineage: Eukaryota; Metazoa; Chordata; Mammalia; Carnivora; Felidae
Exons: 3
Source: RefSeq, a predicted model, not a curated record
GCUGCUGGCUGGGUGAGGGGAAAGAACCAGUCUUCCGAUCGCCUGGCCGCACCGGCCGUCUCAGAUGCCGAUUGGCUCGCGGGAUUUGAAGGGCUAACACCCGUUUCGUGACAGCAUUUAUCACUUCAUAACAUGAAAUGUUAUGUUAAUGAAUAUCAGAAGUGAAGUGAGUACUGGGGAGAAAUGCUCAUUGUCAUUAGAGGCCGAACCACAAGUGAGGACUUGGUCACCAUCACACAAAGGUUUGGGGCACUGUGUAUUCUGUCCUCUGCUUUGGACCAUGAGCCCAUCCAGUGAUGACUGCAUGGCAGCCCUGGAGUGCGUGACACCCAUGGUGAGAGCAUCUGAUUCCACCCAAAUAGGGAGACUCAGACCCCAGCCUCCAGCCAGAACCCCUGUCUUCCCUCUGGAGACCAUCUUUGCAGAAGGGUGUGCAGAGCAGCAAUUGAGAAGCUUCUUACCCAGCCCCCACUGCUGUGA